CCUACGGGUGACAGCAGUGGGGAAUAUUGCACAAUGGGGGAAACCCUGAUGCAGCGACGCCGCGUGAGUGAAGAAGUAUCUCGGUACGUAAAGCUCUAUCAGCAGGGAAGAAAAUGACGGUACCUGACUAAGAAGCCACGGCUAACUACGUGCCAGCAGCCGCGGUAAUACGUAGGGAGCAAGCGUUAUCCGGAUUUACUGGGUGUAAAGGGAGCGUAGACGGCAGCAAAAGUCUGGAGUGAAAUCCCGGGGGUUAACCCCGGAACUGCGUUGGAAACUGUGCGGCUGGAGUGCAGGAGGGGUAAGCGGAAUUCCUAGUGUAGCGGUGAAAUGCGUAGAUAUUAGGAGGAACACCGGUGGCGAAGGCGGCUUACUGGACUGUAACUGACGUUGAGGCUCGAAAGCGUGGGGAGCAAACAGGAUUAGAUACCCGGGUAGUC
RNAcentral lists this ribosomal RNA (440 nucleotides) under uncultured bacterium. RNAcentral's name for it is "partial 16S ribosomal RNA". It matches the Rfam family "Bacterial small subunit ribosomal RNA", at positions 338 to 795 of the family's 1533-position model. The record is from RNAcentral.